RNAcentral lists this transfer RNA (77 nucleotides) under Shewanella piezotolerans WP3. RNAcentral's name for it is "tRNA-Arg". Lineage: Bacteria; Pseudomonadati; Pseudomonadota; Gammaproteobacteria; Alteromonadales; Shewanellaceae. The record is from RNAcentral.
AAUCGUUAUUAUGAAGCCGAUCUUUCCCACCACAAGUUAAAUGAAGCAGUGCAACCUAGUUAUAAAGAGGUGAGGCG